UGAUUAUGAAAAUAAACUUGGAUUAGAA
This 28-nucleotide non-coding RNA is filed under the name Bombyx mori (domestic silkworm). The record is from RNAcentral. Lineage: Eukaryota; Metazoa; Arthropoda; Insecta; Lepidoptera; Bombycidae.